GACGAACGCUGGCGGCGUGCUUAACACAUGCAAGUCGAACGAUGGAGAAGAGAAACGCGAACUUCGGUUCAACUUUCACUUCGGAUUAGUGGCAGACGGGUGAGUAACGCGUGAGCAACCUACCUCUUACAAAGGGAUAGCCUCGGGAAACCGUGAUUAAUACCAUAUGACACAUUCAUAAGGCAUCUUAAGAAUGUUAAAGCUACGGCGGUAAGAGAUGGGCUCGCGUCCCAUUAGCUAGUUGGUGAGGUAACGGCCCACCAAGGCGACGAUGGGUAACCGGCCUGAGAGGGUGAACGGUCACAUUGGAACUGAGACACGGUCCAAACUCCUACGGGAGGCAGCAGUGGGGAAUAUUGCACAAUGGAGGGAACUCUGAUGCAGCGACGCCGCGUGAGCGAUGAAGGAAUUCGUUUCGUAAAGCUCUGUUCUAUGGGAAGAAAAGGACUGUACCAUAGGAGAAAGCCCCGGCUAAAUACGUG
RNAcentral lists this ribosomal RNA (482 nucleotides) under uncultured bacterium. Its description in RNAcentral is "partial 16S ribosomal RNA". It matches the Rfam family "Bacterial small subunit ribosomal RNA", at positions 28 to 507 of the family's 1533-position model. The record is from RNAcentral.